Non-coding RNA from Carica papaya (papaya), 305 nucleotides. Lineage: Eukaryota; Viridiplantae; Streptophyta; Magnoliopsida; Brassicales; Caricaceae. The record is from RefSeq and is a predicted model, not a curated record.
CAGGGACGAGGUCAAAGUGUGUUCAGUUUCCAAGCUGUUGUAAAAGAACAAAGAAAAAAGAAGUUGAAAUUCAAUCAAAGAGGAAAAACAUUCAACCCUAUGAUUCGCACUCUUCUUUGUUGUGUGCUUUGGGAAGCAUGUUUUGAUCCGGGCACCAAGACCAUCCAUCAAUAGACUACUCAAGAACAAAAUAAAAAAAAUUUUGAAUUUAUUUGGAGUCUGAAAAUCUGAAUGUUAAUUCUAUUUAAGCUUUCAAUUUGAAUGCAUGUAAUAAGUAUUGAUUAAAUAAAGAGUUUUUUUUUUUU